UCCAGUGAUUUUCUUGAUAUCAGU
Molecule: non-coding RNA, 24 nt
Filed under: Arabidopsis thaliana (thale cress)
Lineage: Eukaryota; Viridiplantae; Streptophyta; Magnoliopsida; Brassicales; Brassicaceae
Source: RNAcentral